GAUGAACGCUGGCGGCGUGCCUAAUACAUGCAAGUCGAGCGAACAGACGAGGAGCUUGCUCCUCUGACGUUAGCGGCGGACGGGUGAGUAACACGUGGAUAACCUACCUAUAAGACUGGGAUAACUUCGGGAAACCGGAGCUAAUACCGGAUAAUAUAUUGAACCGCAUGGUUCAAUAGUGAAAGACGGUUUUGCUGUCACUUAUAGAUGGAUCCGCGCCGCAUUAGCUAGUUGGUAAGGUAACGGCUUACCAAGGCAACGAUGCGUAGCCGACCUGAGAGGGUGAUCGGCCACACUGGAACUGAGACACGGUCCAGACUCCUACGGGAGGCAGCAGUAGGGAAUCUUCCGCAAUGGGGGAAAGCUUGACGGAGCAACGCCGCGGGAGUGAUGAAGGUCUUCGGAUCGUAAAACUCUGUUAUUAGGGAAGAACAAAUGUGUAAGUAACUGUGCACGUCUUGACGGUACCGAAUCAGAAAGCCACGGCUAACUACGUG
Molecule: ribosomal RNA, 497 nt
Filed under: uncultured bacterium
Lineage: Bacteria
Description: partial 16S ribosomal RNA
Rfam family: Bacterial small subunit ribosomal RNA
Source: RNAcentral